GACGAACGCUGGCGGCGUGCCUAAUACAUGCAAGUUGAGCGCUGAAGGUUGGUACUUGUACCAACUGGAUGAGCAGCGAACGGGUGAGUAACGCGUGGGGAAUCUGCCUUUGAGCGGGGGACAACAUUUGGAAACGAAUGCUAAUACCGCAUAAAAACUUUAAACACAAGUUUUAAGCUUGAAAGAUGCAAUUGCAUCACUCAAAGAUGAUCCCGCGUUGUAUUAGCUAGUUGGUGAGGUAAAGGCUCACCAAGGCGAUGAUACAUAGCCGACCUGAGAGGGUGAUCGGCCACAUUGGGACUGAGACACGGCCCAAACGCCUACGGGAGGCAGCAGUAGGGAAUCUUCGGCAAUGGACGAAAGUCUGACCGAGCAACGCCGCGUGAGUGAAGAAGGUUUUCGGAUCGUAAAACUCUGUUGGUAGAGAAGAACGUUGGUGAGAGUGGAAAGCUCAUCAAGUGACGGUAACUACCCAGAAAGGGACGGCUAACUACGUG
RNAcentral lists this ribosomal RNA (497 nucleotides) under uncultured bacterium. RNAcentral's name for it is "partial 16S ribosomal RNA". It matches the Rfam family "Bacterial small subunit ribosomal RNA", at positions 28 to 507 of the family's 1533-position model. The record is from RNAcentral.